This 506-nucleotide ribosomal RNA is filed under the name uncultured bacterium. RNAcentral's name for it is "partial 16S ribosomal RNA". It matches the Rfam family "Bacterial small subunit ribosomal RNA", at positions 29 to 523 of the family's 1533-position model. The record is from RNAcentral.
AGUGAACGCUGGCGGUAGGCCUAACACAUGCAAGUCGAACGGCAGCACAGGAGAGCUUGCUCUCUGGGUGGCGAGUGGCGGACGGGUGAGGAAUACAUCGGAAUCUACUCUGUCGUGGGGGAUAACGUAGGGAAACUUACGCUAAUACCGCAUACGACCUACGGGUGAAAGCAGGGGACCUUCGGGCCUUGCGCGAUUGAAUGAGCCGAUGUCGGAUUAGCUAGUUGGCGGGGUAAAGGCCCACCAAGGCGACGAUCCGUAGCUGGUCUGAGAGGAUGCUCAGCCACACUGGAAAUGAGACACGGUCCAGACUCCUACGGGAGGCAGCAGUGGGGAAUAUUGGACAAUGGGCGCAAGCCUGAUCCAGCCAUACCGCGUGGGUGAAGAAGGCCUUCGGGUUGUAAAGCCCUUUUGUUGGGAAAGAAAUCCAGCUGGCUAAUACCCGGUUGGGAUGACGGUACCCAAAGAAUAAGCACCGGCUAACUUCGUGCCAGCCGCCGCAGUAA